GGAAUCUGCCUUUUGGUUUGGAAUAACAUGGGGAAACCUGUGCUAAUACCGAAUAAGCCUUUACAGGGAAAGUUUUAACGCCGAAAGAUGAGCCCGCACUUGAUUAGCUAGUUGGUAAGGUAAAAGCUUACCAAGGCAAUGAUCAAUAGCUGUUCUUAGAGGAAGACCAGCCACAUUGGGACUGAGACACGGCCCAGACUCCUACGGGAGGCAGCAGUGGGGAAUCUUGCACAAUGGGGGAAACCCUGAUGCAGCGAUGCCGCGUGAGUGAAGAAGGCCUUUGGGUUGUAAAACUCUUUCGUCGGGGAAGAAAAUGACUGUACCCGAAUAAGAAGGUCCGGCUAACUUCGUGCCAGCAGCCGCGGUAAUACGAAGGGACCUAGCGUAGUUCGGAAUUACUGGGCUUAAAGAGCUCGUAGGUGGUUAAAAAAGUUGAUGGUGAAAUCCCAAGGCUUAACCUUGGAACUGCCAUCAAAACUUUUUAGCUAGAGCGUGAUAGAGGUAAGUGGAAUUUCUAGUGUAGAGGUGAAAUUCGUAGAUAUUAGAAAGAACACCAAAUGCGAAGGCAACUUACUGGGUCACUACUGACACUGAGGAGCGAAAGCAUGGGUAGCGAAGAGGAUUAGAUACCCUCGUAGUCCAUGCCGUAAACGAUGUGUGCUAGACGUUGGAAAUAUAUUUUUCAGUGUCGCAGCGAAAGCAUAAGCACACCGC
RNAcentral lists this ribosomal RNA (714 nucleotides) under uncultured Alphaproteobacteria bacterium. RNAcentral describes it as "bacterial SSU rRNA". It matches the Rfam family "Bacterial small subunit ribosomal RNA", at positions 121 to 872 of the family's 1533-position model. The record is from RNAcentral. Lineage: Bacteria; Pseudomonadati; Pseudomonadota; Alphaproteobacteria.